RNAcentral lists this ribosomal RNA (254 nucleotides) under uncultured bacterium. Its description in RNAcentral is "partial 16S ribosomal RNA". It matches the Rfam family "Bacterial small subunit ribosomal RNA", at positions 524 to 776 of the family's 1533-position model. The record is from RNAcentral.
AACGUAGGACGCAAGCGUUAUCCGGAGUUACUGGGCGUAAAGCGCGAGCAGGCGGCUCGACAAGUUCGCUGUGAAAGCUCCCGGCUCAACCGGGCGAGGCCAGUGGAAACUAUCGAGCUGGAGGGCAGUAGAGGCAGGCGGAAUUCCGGGUGGAGUGGUGAAAUGCGUAGAGAUCCGGAGGAACACCAGAGGCGAAGGCGGCCUGCUGGGCUGCACCUGACGCUGAGCCGCGAAAGCCAGGGGGAGCGAACGGG